GGACCCGCACAAGCGGUGGAGCAUGUGGUUUAAUUCGAUGAUACGCGAGGAACCUUACCAGGGCUUAAAUGUAGUGGGACAGGUCUAGAGAUAGACCCUUCUUCGGACUCAUUACAAGGUGCUGCAUGGUUGUCGUCAGCUCGUGCCGUGAGGUGUCAGGUUAAGUCCUAUAACGAGCGCAACCCCUGUUGUUAGUUGCCAUCGAGUCAUGUCGGGAACUCUAACGAAACUGCCAGUGCAAACUGUGAGGAAGGUGGGGAUGACGUCAAAUCAUCACGGCCCUUACGUCCUGGGCUACACACGUGCUACAAUGCUACGGACAAAGAGCAGCAAGUUCGCGAGGACAAGCA
Molecule: ribosomal RNA, 350 nt
Filed under: uncultured bacterium
Lineage: Bacteria
Description: bacterial SSU rRNA
Rfam family: Bacterial small subunit ribosomal RNA
Source: RNAcentral